This 425-nucleotide ribosomal RNA is filed under the name uncultured bacterium. RNAcentral's name for it is "partial 16S ribosomal RNA". It matches the Rfam family "Bacterial small subunit ribosomal RNA", at positions 354 to 796 of the family's 1533-position model. The record is from RNAcentral.
GUGGGGAAUCUUAGACAAUGGGGGCAACCCUGAUCUAGCCAUGCCGCGUGAGUGAUGAAGGCCUUAGGGUUGUAAAGCUCUUUCAGUGGGGAAGAUAAUGACGGUACCCACAGAAGAAGCCCCGGCUAACUCCGUGCCAGCAGCCGCGGUAAUACGGAGGGGGCUAGCGUUGUUCGGAAUUACUGGGCGUAAAGCGCACGUAGGCGGAUCGGAAAGUCAGGGGUGAAAUCCCGGGGCUCAACCCCGGAACUGCCUUUGAAACGCCUGGUCUUGAGGUCGAGAGAGGUGAGUGGAAUUCCGAGUGUAGAGGUGAAAUUCGUAGAUAUUCGGAGGAACACCAGUGGCGAAGGCGGCUCACUGGCUCGAUACUGACGCUGAGGUGCGAAAGCGUGGGGAGCAAACAGGAUUAGAAACCCGGGUAGUCC